This 820-nucleotide ribosomal RNA is filed under the name marine metagenome. Its description in RNAcentral is "bacterial SSU rRNA". It matches the Rfam family "Bacterial small subunit ribosomal RNA", at positions 496 to 1333 of the family's 1533-position model. The record is from RNAcentral.
GCUAACUACGUGCCAGCAGCCGCGGUAAUACGUAGGUGGCAAACGUUAUUCGGAAUUAUUGGGCGUAAAGGGUCCGUAGGCGGCUCAACAAGUCUCAUGUGAAAUCUCUUGGCUCAACCAAGAAAGGUCAUGAGAAACUGUUGGGCUAGAGAUCAUUAGAGGGAGAUGGAAUUCCAGGUGUAGUGGUGAAAUGCGUAGAUAUCUGGAGGAACAUCAAUGGCGAAAGCAGUCUCCUAGGAUGAUUCUGACGCUCAGGGACGAAAGCGUGGGUAGCAAACCGGAUUAGAUACCCGGGUAGUCCACGCCCUAAACGAUGAAUGCUAGGUUUAUGAGGGCUCGCCCCUUGUGAGCCGGAGCUAACGCGUUAAGCAUUCCGCCUGGGGACUACGGCCGCAAGGCUAAAACUCAAAGGAAUUGACGGGGGCCCGCACAAGCAGCGGAGCGUGUGGUUUAAUUCGAUGCUAAGCGAAGAACCUUACCUAGACUUGACAUGUUGGUGGUACUGAACCGAAAGGGAAUGGACCCGCAAGGGAGCCAACACAGGUGCUGCAUGGUUGUCGUCAGCUCGUGUCGUGAGAUGUUGGGUUAAGUCCCGCAACGAGCGCAACCCUCGUGGCUAGUUGAAUUUCUCUAGCCAGACUGCCUUAAUAAGGAGGAAGGUGGGGAUGACGUCAAAUCAUCAUGGCUCUUACGUCUAGGGCUACACACACGCUACAAUGGCCGGUACAGACGGUAGCGAAGUCGCGAGAUGGAGCCAAUCUGAAAAAACCGGUCCCAAUUGGAAUUGUAGGCUGAAACUCGCCUGCAUGAACGUGGAGUU